Molecule: ribosomal RNA, 406 nt
Filed under: uncultured bacterium
Lineage: Bacteria
Description: partial 16S ribosomal RNA
Rfam family: Bacterial small subunit ribosomal RNA
Source: RNAcentral
GACGAACGCUGGCGGCGUGCCUAAUACAUGCAAGUAGAACGAGUUGCGAACGGGUGAGUAACGCGUAGGAACCUGCCUCAUAGCGGGGGAUAACUAUUGGAAACGAUAGCUAAUACCGCAUACUGUGAGAUGGACCUGCGGUGUAUUAGCUAGUUGGUGAGGGAAAGGCCUACCAAGGCAACGAUCCGUAGCUGGUCUGAGAGGAUGAUCAGGCACACUGGAACUGAGACACGGUCCAGACUCCUACGGGAGGCAGCAGUGGGGAAUAUUGGACAAUGGGCGAAAGCCUGAUCGAGCCAUGCCGCGUGUGUGAAGAAGGUCUUCGGAUUGUAAAGCACUUUAAGUUGGGAGGCGUUACCAACAGAAUAAGCACCGGCUAACUACGUGCCAGCCGCCGCGGUAAUUC